GCAUCGAACGUAUCAAAAAAACUACAUCAAACAUCUUAAAGAAAGGUUACGCUAUGGUGUUUACUU
Molecule: transfer RNA, 66 nt
Filed under: Bigelowiella natans
Lineage: Eukaryota; Cercozoa; Chlorarachniophyceae
Source: RNAcentral